AUUACCUGGAGAUCUUGUUAAAGUGCAGAUUCUGAUUCAGUCAGUCUGAGAUUCUGCAUUUCUGCCAAUCUCCCAGGUGAUACCACUGCUGCU
RNAcentral lists this microRNA precursor (93 nucleotides) under Dasypus novemcinctus (nine-banded armadillo). RNAcentral's name for it is "miRNA (ENSDNOG00000039390.1)". It matches the Rfam family "mir-544 microRNA precursor family". The record is from RNAcentral. Lineage: Eukaryota; Metazoa; Chordata; Mammalia; Cingulata; Dasypodidae.